AGGGUGAGGAAGGMGAACAUUGAGAAGGUGGAGGUGUGCAUGUUUCCUUCUUAAGAAGGGACUGGAAGGCAAAUGUGGUCCAAAACGAUUUCAGAGACCUCAGGACGGCUUAUGUUUUUGAUCUGAAGGAGGAGAGCUGUUUCUUCAGGGAAAGGCUGUUAGAAGGGUUGUUUGCUUUUUCUAUAUGUGUGUGUAUGUUUAAAUAGCGCACUUGAACUGAAAUAUUUUAAUAGUAAUAAGUUAGAUAAWUGUAUAAUAACAGCUGAAGGCACGA
This is a long non-coding RNA of Nothoprocta perdicaria, 274 nucleotides long. RefSeq lists it as uncharacterized. The transcript is spliced from 3 exons. NCBI's taxonomy places the organism in Eukaryota, Metazoa, Chordata, Aves, Tinamiformes, Tinamidae. The record is from RefSeq and is a predicted model, not a curated record.